GUUACGGUGCGGUGCCUAUUCACACUAAUUAUUUUCUCAGAUAAGAAAAACUCACACUAUUAGGCUGGGUUCGAAGUUCCUCCGCUCCGCGGCUAUGCUUCCGGAGCAGACCGAGCUGUAGUUAAAAUUAGUAGAGCGGUUACACAUAUGCUUUGUAUAUUCUUAAAUUUAUUUUGCCUCAACCGUUACGUUGGCCCACCUAUUAGCUCUCUCCUAUCUCCCUUCAUUUAUUUUUCUCUUUACACAUUCCAUCAAAUAGCUUCAGUGUAGUACCGAACGCGGAUGAUGAUGGGAAGGGCGUCGCCGCUAGUGAUGGCACCAGCUCGGCGAGGAAGCGCAGCUGGAGUCCAGCGCGUGCGGCUCAGUUCGGGAACUCCACCACCAGCACGGUCUCCCCCUUCCGCCAGCUUGGACUUCGGGCACACCUCGCCGGUCACGUGCGCCGCCGACCUCGAUCGCAGGGGCUUAAGCGUCCCCAGCUGAGAGCAGAUCAAGGAGGAGGGCGGGAACUACUCCGGCGACCUCUAGGUAGCUCCGCUGCGCCACAAGUCCAUGCAGGAGACGUCUCUCGGCCGGCUAACUGUUGCUCCGCCGCGCGCCUGCGCCAGAAGCACGCGCAGGAGGCACCUCGCGGCCGGCUAGCCGCUGCGCCAGGAGCACGCGCAUGAGGCACAUCGCGACCGACCCGAUGCUUCUCCUGUGUGCCACGAGUCCGCGUAGGAGGCGCCUGACAGUCGGCCCGCUACCGCUACACUUG
Molecule: long non-coding RNA, 757 nt
Filed under: Hordeum vulgare
Lineage: Eukaryota; Viridiplantae; Streptophyta; Magnoliopsida; Poales; Poaceae
Description: long non-coding RNA (HVUL_LNC013466)
Source: RNAcentral